RNAcentral lists this long non-coding RNA (2778 nucleotides) under Sus scrofa (pig). RNAcentral's name for it is "lncRNA (ENSSSCG00025033375.1)". The record is from RNAcentral. Lineage: Eukaryota; Metazoa; Chordata; Mammalia; Artiodactyla; Suidae.
GUUCCUGAGAAGAUUGUUAAAAGAAUCAAGUGAGAUUCCACAUCCAUUUUGAUUGAGCAAACAUUUACAGAGUAUUCAUUCUCUCAGGGCUGGGCUCUGUGCAAAGUGCUGAGGAGAAUAAAACUCCACCACUGUUUUCCUGAAAUUCGGAGACUACGAGAGAAGUUCCUCUCAAAGGCUACAGUGCACCAAAGUCAAGGGGAUCUUGUUAGCACUGUUGGUUCUGGUGCCAUAGGUUUAGGGAGAACCUGAGAUUCCCCAGAGAUGUCAGUGCUGGAGGUUCCUGGACCACAUCUUGAUUAACUAAGGCUUUAGGGAGAUGUUGGCGAACAGGUGUUCCUGCAAAGUGGUAAGGGCUGCAACCCUGGCAUCCCAAAGUAGGAUGUGAGCAUAAAGAGGAAGCAGUCAGUUAGUGCUGGGGAGACGGAAGAGGCAGGCUGAGCUGUGAAGUGGGUCAUCUAGGGCCUGAAUUAGUCAAUUUACAGCCAGAAAAGUGGGAAAGGUCUUUGGUCAGAGCAGGCAACGUGGACCUGGACACUGGCUGGCUCCAGCAUCGCGUUAGGAACCAGAGGAGAAGAAUGGCAAGAAAGGAGGCUAGAACGCCCCCUUGGGGCCAGUGGGUGAACAGUUGGUCCUAUUUGCCAAGCUGAGACCUCAGACUCAACGCUGGAGUCAAUAUGCUGUCAAGAGAUUUAGCAGGGCCGUUAUCUUAUAUGUGUGAAAUAGGCAAUUUGCAUAACUGAAAGUAGAGUGUCCUGUGACACCCCCAGGUAGUAAAUGAAAAGAUUAAGACUGUAGGUGAGAGGCGGUGUUUUAGGAGAGCCUUGAACAGGCUUUGGAGAAAAACAGCAGGAAUUGAAUUCUGGCUCCACUAGAAGGAUUUUUCAGCUAAAAAUCUAUUGAGAAAUUUUAUUUGCUUUCUGAAUCUGAGUUUUCUUAUCUAUAGAGUGGAGGUAAUAAAGACCAUCUUAUGGAAUAAUUGUGAAGAUGAAUCCUUUAUGUCAUUCUUUGAAAUAUCAUUUUUUGUUUCCUCAUGGUGCCAUGGAUUAAGGAUCCAGAGCUGUCACCGCUGUGGCUCUGGUCACCGCUGUGGCACGGGUUCAUCCUCUGACCCGGGAACUUCCAUAUGCCACUGGUGAGGCCAAAUUUAUAAUAAUAAUAAUAAUAGUGUUGAUUUUGAGCUCUUAUAAACGCCUGCCUAGGACAUGACCUAGCGGAUUUGGACAGCAGCUAUGUUGAUGGACGUCAAGUGCCUUUUGCCCUGGGUGGUAUUCUGAUGCCUUCGGAGACCGUCUUAGAAGCUCAGUUGGUCCUGUGGGUGACAGGGAUCACCAGUGUUCUGCUUGGACAAUGCUCUGAGAGACUUUAGAGGGUGUUCUAUAAAGAGUGGGAAAGGUUUUCUUAAAUGUUCAAAAAUGAGGAAGACAAAGAAGUGUUUCUGGCCAAGGGAGAGAAGGUAGAGGAUUGCUGUAGUACCUGUCCAAGGAUUUAGUUCAACAAGACAGGUUCAGUUUAUUGGAGAAGGUUUUCCUGACCGAAGCAGAUCUGGGUGAGAUGGCUUUCCCUGUGCUCUGCAGCAUGGAGUGACCAUCUGCAGCACGACCUCGUCACCCUUUGCUUUCUCUACAUGACGUUGCGCUUCUGAAGGCAGGGACGGUUGUCUUCCUCAUUGUGGAUUUCCCACUGCCUGGAGCAGGGACACAAAGUUGGCUUUCAAUAGAUGUUUUCAUCUUCACAGUUCUGUGAGUCGUACUGUGCUCGCUAGAAAGGAAUGACGCUGGCAGAGGGGUUGAAGGAGGUCUGGGGUUUAGGGAGUUGUGGGAGUCUGCAGUGUCCUCUUCAGUUAGUCCAGUUCUGGCUCUGUGUCCUAUUUUGGAUACUGCUUUUGAGAUCCAAGUGUCCCUCUUGAACCCUGUCUGCAUCCACAUCUUGUUUCAUGUUUAUUUUGGCCGAUCACGUUAGAAUAAAGACCUUGUCUCUUCCAUAACUCCCCUUCCCAGAAACCUGAUGUCGUCUCUGAAUCCCAGCCUGGGAACUGGAGCCAGUGGGCCUCUAUGCUGCAUGUUGGAUGUGUCUUCCCUGGGGGACGACUCCACCUAUCCCUGGAGGGGAGGCGCUGAAUGCUCCUGAGCCCUUCAACUUGAUCUCUCCCUGGCUUCUAGCAGCUGCGGAGAAAUCCAGCACCUGCCUGUUAUCCUCUCCUUGGAUGCUGCGUUUGGUCGGAUAGACUGGGUCCUGUCUCAGCACCCAGGGUAGCAUCUCUCCAUUGAAGGGCUCUGAUUUCCAGGUUCUGACCCUUCCUGGUCUGUUUUGUUCAGUUAAUCCUGAGUGGACCAAGAUCAAAAGCAUGAUUACAUUAAAUGAAUAGGAGUUUUAUAGAAUGGAAUGUUUCUUCAUUUCCAAUAAGGAUUUUUAAAAGGUCAACUUUGCUUCAGUACAUGCCAAAGGGGUGGCAUUUAGAGAGUAGUAAAUAUCAUUUAAGAAAAUUCCCUUCCUAAAAUAGUGUAUCCUGCCUAGUACUGGCGAGAAGGUUAGAUCAAGGGUUUCUACUCUCAGGGGUAUUUCUCUGUUAGUUAUAGUCACAUGUUCCCUGACUUUAUUUCAUAUGCUAGCAUACAACUUUAGCAAAACUCGUGUCAGACCUGUUUCUAUGAAUAAAUUUACUGCGGUUCUUUUUGUGGUAUUAUCUCCUGCCAUCUAAUAAACAGAGGAUUUUUGAAGCAAGUUUUAUUCAUGAAAAUAAAAUACUUCAGCAUCAUGAAAGAAUGUUGAAUAAUG